RNA transcript from Vigna angularis (adzuki bean), 2948 nucleotides. It is a transcript of the gene named xyloglucan O-acetyltransferase 1, with no coding region annotated. Lineage: Eukaryota; Viridiplantae; Streptophyta; Magnoliopsida; Fabales; Fabaceae. The record is from RefSeq and is a predicted model, not a curated record. The transcript is spliced from 3 exons.
CUGACCUCUCUAUCUUCUCUGCAUUAAAUAAGGCCGGGACAAUGAUUGAAGCAUUCUGAUGUGUGUAAAUGCCAAAACCGAAAUUUUCAGACACAGGAAAUUAGAAGAUCAUGCAGAUCUAACAGUACGAAGUUGAAAAAGUUAUCCUUAGCAGUGUGAAGUUGUUUGUUUCUCUUCAUUCUUCUCAACCGACAACACCAGAAAACAGUGAUGAGGAGCUGAAGGAAGAAUGGAAGAAAGAAAAAUGAGAAGCGCUCUGUUGUUCAAAGACAAAUCGGUUUCUUUCAUAAAAAGAUUUGCUUUCUCCAUUUCCUAUGUUCUGCUUCCUGCAACUCUGCUUUGUACAUUCUUCUACCUUCUCUCCAUAACUCAAUAUUCCACAACCACCACCACUUACCGUCCUUCUUUUUCUUCUCCUCAUCCUUCUCUGCCUUCAACAUCUCCUUCUUUUUCUUCAGAAAGGGACAAAGUUUACCAUGACUCAUGUGACUACUCUGAUGGUGAAUGGGUUGAUGACAGAAGUGGUCCUUUAUACAAUGUAACUACAUGUGGCACAAUCAAAGAGAGUGAGAAAUGCAUCUCCAAUGGAAGACCUGACUUGGGCUAUCUGUAUUGGAGAUGGCAGCCCAAAGAAUGCAAUCUUCCAAGGUUUGAACCUCUCACGUUUCUCCAAGUAGUUGAGAACAAACACGUAGCAUUUGUUGGGGACUCUUUGGCCAGGAACCAACUCGAGUCUCUUCUUUGCAUGCUAGCCACAGUUUCAACCCCAAAGCUUGUCUACAAAAGUCCCAAUGACAACAAAUUUCGUCGUUGGCACUUCCCUUCUCACAAUGCAAACUUGUCCUUGUAUUGGUCACCUUUUCUUGUGGAAGGGGUUGAAAGAUCAAACGAAGGGCCUUAUUACAACACCAUGUAUUUGGAUCAUGUUAAUGAGAGAUGGGCAAGGGACUUAGAGUGGUUUGACAUGAUUGUAGUGUCAUUUGGGCAUUGGUUUUUGCUUCCUUCUGUUUACUACGAGGGUGGUUUGGUUAUUGGCAGCUUGAACUGUCCUGAUCUGAAUCAUACUGAGAUGGAUUUCUAUGUCCCAUUGAGGAAGGUUUUGAGGACUACUCUGAGUAGCAUAAUUGAGAGAAAGAGGAGUGAAGUUGAUGUGAUUGUGAAAACAUUUUCACCUGCUCAUUUUGAAGGUGAUUGGGAUAAGGCUGGAACUUGUUUGAAGACUGAGCCUUACAAGAAGGAGGAGAAGGAAGUUGAAGGCAUGGAUGCUGAGAUCAGAAAGAUUGAGAUAGAAGAAGUGGAGAAUGCAAAGGCAAAAGCUACUGAAUUUGGAGGCUUCAGAUAAGAUAUUCUUGAUGUAACAAGAUUGGCAUUGUUGAGACCAGAUGGUCACCCUGGUCCUUAUAUGAACCCUUUCCCAUUUGCUAAAGGUGUUCCAGAACGUGUGCAAAAUGAUUGUGUUCAUUGGUGCUUGCCAGGACCUAUAGACACAUGGAAUCAGAUUUUUCUACAGAUCAUCAAAAAGCGGGAGAAAAGGGAAAUUGUUGGAUAAUAUUUGGGACAUUUGGAGGUGAAAAGAAAAUGCCACAUCAGUUAUAAUUUAAGUUAAAAUGAUUGAGGAGGUGUGAAUUUCAAUUAAGGGGGUGCAAACGGAUGAGCUGGAACGUUGGGAUGAAGACGUGGUGCUUGGGAGAGACCGUGGGGUGCAUCCAGCAAAAGCCCCACACUUGGCAUGAUGAUGCCACGUACUCGGAGCUCCAGAGGUUUUGAUUCAUGAGAGAGCAGCACACGUGGAGAUUCAUUUCUUCAUCCAGUCUUCACUUCAUCACGCAUCCAGCAAAAGAAGGGGCAGCAGGCCCACCUAUCUUCAUUCAUGUGUCCAGCAGGGCUUCACCACGUUCCAGUAGCUUGAGGAAAGGAGUGACAUCCAGCUGUCUUCACGUACCCACCAUCAGCACACGUAUUCGGCCCAUACCGAGAGAACCACGCGUCCGAGAGGUGUGAUGGAAGGCCUGCUUUCACGCGGAGAAUGGGAAGAAAACUUGAGGUGCGACAAGCAAAAAUCAACACGCGGUCCAGCAGCUUAGAUUCAUGAAAGCAGUAGCAGACAUCCAAAGCUCUCGGUCCAACACGCAAUGGAGGGUGUCUCGGCUUGGAGCUGGAGGUGACGUCUAGCAAUAGGAAGCCCUCGGUCAGAUUCUAGCUUGGAAACACUGCACGCACAAGGUCCAGCAGGUUUUGAUGAUGGAGGACAAGGAGCAAGGGGGGGUCUCGGCCUGGAGCUGUAGCCGCCAACCUCAGUUUCUCUUUGAAUGUUUUUUUUUGAAUUGAAAGAAGUGUGCAAUGCUGAUACGGAGAUGAAUGAAAAAGCUUCACCUUAAUUUCAUUUGGUUGAUUUAUUCAUUGCCCUUUUCAUUUGGUUCAUGCAUUUUUUUUUAUUGAAGUGUUGGUGUGCACGUGAAUGUGACCUGCAAGCUGCUGGAACGGUGAUGGAGUUUGAAAGGAGGUGUCAUGGUUUGGUUGGGAGAAGCACAUUUCAUUCUUAUGUGAUAUGCUGAUUUAUUUUGUUUGUGGCCCACAUUGGUGAUGCAUUUUAAUGUGGAGCAAGGCAGGAAGAGUGGUGUCACGGCCUGAAUCAUUUGUGUCAUUAAAUGCUCAUCUUUUGCAUUGAAUAUUUGAUUUCUAAGCUGCAACUUUCGUUUGUUUAUUAGUUAGCGUGGUUCCAUUUUAAUUUAGGUAGAUGAGUUUUAGAUUUCUUUUAUUGCAUUUCAAUUCGGUUAUGAGUUGUCUUAAAUAUUUAGUGCAUUUAAUUUGGUUUAUAUGUGCAUUUUAUUUUUAACCAAGUGUCUCUUAUUAUCUGCUGAAUUUUAAUUAGUUCACACGUUUUGUUUUAGGACCGUUCAGUUUAUUGUUUUCAUUCACUAUGUUGUCUAUCGUGUUCUGCUUCUUUA